UCAAAUGAUUUUGUGUCGUUGG
RNAcentral lists this microRNA (22 nucleotides) under Glycine max (soybean). RNAcentral describes it as "gma-miR4350". Lineage: Eukaryota; Viridiplantae; Streptophyta; Magnoliopsida; Fabales; Fabaceae. The record is from miRBase by way of RNAcentral.